UAAUACGUAGGGCGCAAGCGUUGUCCGGAAUUAUUGGGCGUAAAGAGCUCGUAGGCGGCCUGUCGCGUCCGUCGUGAAAGCCCGGGGCUUAACUCCGGGUCUGCGGUGGAUACGGGCAGGCUAGAGGCAGGUAGGGGAGAAUGGAAUUCCCGGUGUAGCGGUGAAAUGCGCAGAUAUCGGGAGGAACACCGGUGGCGAAGGCGGUUCUCUGGGCCUGUACUGACGCUGAGGAGCGAAAGCGUGGGGAGCGAACAGGAUUAGAUACCCUGGUAGUCCACGCCGUAAACGUUGGGCGCUAGGUGUGGGGUCCUUCCACGGAUUCCGUGCCGCAGCUAACGCAUUAAGCGCCCCGCCUGGGGAGUACGGCCGCAAGGCUA
This 377-nucleotide ribosomal RNA is filed under the name uncultured bacterium. RNAcentral describes it as "bacterial SSU rRNA". It matches the Rfam family "Bacterial small subunit ribosomal RNA", at positions 521 to 896 of the family's 1533-position model. The record is from RNAcentral.